UACGUAGGGCGCGAGCGUUGUCCGGAAUUAUUGGGCGUAAAGAGCUCGUAGGCGGCUUGUUGCGUCUGCUGUGAAAUCCCGGGGCUUAACCCCGGGCGUGCAGUGGAUACGGGCAGGCUGGAGGCAGGCAGGGGAGAAUGGAAUUCCCGGUGUAGCGGUGAAAUGCGCAGAUAUCGGGAGGAACACCGGUGGCGAAGGCGGCCCACUGGGCUGUCACUGACGCUGAGGCGCGAAAGCUCGGGGAGCGAACGGG
Molecule: ribosomal RNA, 253 nt
Filed under: uncultured bacterium
Lineage: Bacteria
Description: partial 16S ribosomal RNA
Rfam family: Bacterial small subunit ribosomal RNA
Source: RNAcentral